Caenorhabditis brenneri is the source of this 122-nucleotide non-coding RNA. The record is from Rfam. NCBI's taxonomy places the organism in Eukaryota, Metazoa, Nematoda, Chromadorea, Rhabditida, Rhabditidae.
GAGGAGUUGAUGAAAACUCUAAUCCAUUCUCUGAGCGAGAAGGAUGGCCGAAGCGGGCUCGCAUUAGAGGCAUAAGGUAGACGACAGAGUUCUUCUGAAGACUACUGCCUCGCGCUGAAACC